Molecule: ribosomal RNA, 468 nt
Filed under: uncultured bacterium
Lineage: Bacteria
Description: partial 16S ribosomal RNA
Rfam family: Bacterial small subunit ribosomal RNA
Source: RNAcentral
GACGAACGCUGGCGGCGUGCUUAACACAUGCAAGUCGAACGGAAAGGCCCUGCUUUUGUGGGGUGCUCGAGUGGCGAACGGGUGAGUAACACGUGAGUAACCUGCCCUUGACUUUGGUAUAGCUUCAGGAAACUGGGGCUAAUACCGGAUAGGAGCUCCUGCUGCAUGGUGGGGGGUGGAAAGUUUCGGCGGUUGGGGAUGGACGCGCGGCUUAUCAGCUUGUUGGUGGGGUAGUGGCUUACCAAGGCUGUGACGGGUAGCCGGCCGGAGAGGGUGGCCGGCCACCAUGGGACUGAGAUACGCACCAGACUCCUACGGGAGGCAGCAGUGGGGAAUCUUGCCCAAUGGGAGGAAGCCUGAUGCAGAAACGCCGCGUGCGGGAUGACGGCCUUCGGGUUGUAAACCGCUUUAGCCUGUGACGAAGCGUGAGUGACGGUACUGGGUAAAGAAGCACCGGCUAACUACGUG